This is a long non-coding RNA of Cyprinodon tularosa, 381 nucleotides long. RefSeq lists it as uncharacterized. The transcript is spliced from 2 exons. NCBI's taxonomy places the organism in Eukaryota, Metazoa, Chordata, Actinopteri, Cyprinodontiformes, Cyprinodontidae. The record is from RefSeq and is a predicted model, not a curated record.
AAAGACGACCGAAUCAGUGAAGAAAUCUUUCUGCUUUCCAAAGAAGUGGAGCCGCCCAUCUGUCCCCCCAUCAAAGGACUCCUACCUGCCAGAUCUCUGGCUUCCUGAGAAAGCUGCCAGCAGCCCAACCUUCCGUUGGGACGAGGGGGGGGGGGGGGGGUUUCCAGAGAAAGCCUCUCCUGAGAGGUGGAGCUUUCCCACCACAGCCCAGCUCCCAGCAGGUGUAUAAAGAGCAGGAGAGCAGCUCAGGAACAGUAGCCUUCAGACCUCCAGAAGACCUCAGCCAGCCGACCUCUGCCUGCAGACACGUAGACGACAUGCCUUCCAACACAGACAACGAUUGCAUCACUGACAUCACUGUUUAUAUAGAAAAGGGUGGCC